RNAcentral lists this ribosomal RNA (635 nucleotides) under uncultured marine alpha proteobacterium. Its description in RNAcentral is "bacterial SSU rRNA". It matches the Rfam family "Bacterial small subunit ribosomal RNA", at positions 839 to 1482 of the family's 1533-position model. Lineage: Bacteria; Pseudomonadati; Pseudomonadota; Alphaproteobacteria. The record is from RNAcentral.
UUCAGUGUCGCAGCGAAAGCGAUAAACACACCGCCUGGGGAGUACGACCGCAAGGUUAAAACUCAAAUGAAUUGACGGGGACCCGCACAAGUAGUGGAGCAUGUGGUUUAAUUCGAAGAUACGCGCAGAACCUUACCAACACUUGACAUGUUCGUCGCGACUCUAAGAGAUUAGAGUUUUCGGUUCGGCCGGACGAAACACAGGUGCUGCAUGGCUGUCGUCAGCUCGUGUCGUGAGAUGUUGGGUUAAGUCCCGCAACGAGCGCAACCCUUACUUUUAGUUGCCAUCAUUUAGUUGGGCACUCUGAAAGAACUGCCAGUGAUAAGCUGGAGGAAGGUGGGGAUGACGUCAAGUCCUCAUGGCCCUUACGUGUUGGGCUACACACGUGCUACAAUGGUAUCUACAACAGGAAGCAAGAUGGCAACGUUAAGCAAAUCCCAAAAAGAUACCUCAGUUCGGAUUGCACUCUGCAACUCGAGUGCAUGAAGCUGGAAUUACUAGUAAUCGUGGAUCAGCGUGCCACGGUGAAUACGUUCCCGGGUCUUGUACACACCGCCCGUCACACCAUGGGAGUUGGUUCUACCUUAAGGCAAAGUUUAAAACCUUUGACCACGGUAUAGUCAGCGACUGGGGUG